CCUACGGGGAGCAGCAGUGAGGAAUAUUGGUCAAUGGGCGCGAGCCUGAACCAGCCAAGUCGCGUGAGGGAAGACGGUCCUAUGGAUUGUAAACCUCUUUUGUCGGGGAGCAAAAGACGCCACGCGUGGCGUUCCGAGAGUACCCGAAGAAAAAGCAUCGGCUAACUCCGUGCCAGCAGCCGCGGUAAUACGGAGGAUCCGAGCGUUAUCCGGAUUUAUUGGGUUUAAAGGGUGCGUAGGCGGCCUUUUAAGUCAGCGGUGAAAGUCUGUGGCUCAACCAUAGAAUUGCCUCUGAUACUGUUCGGCUAGAGAGUAGUUGCGGUAGGCGGAAUGUAUGGUGUAGCGGUGAAAUGCUUAGAGAUCAUACAGAACACCGAUUGCGAAGGCAGCUUACCAAGCUACUUCUGACGUUGAGGCACGAAAGCGUGGGGAGCAAACAGGAUUAGAUACCCGGGUAGUC
Molecule: ribosomal RNA, 460 nt
Filed under: uncultured bacterium
Lineage: Bacteria
Description: partial 16S ribosomal RNA
Rfam family: Bacterial small subunit ribosomal RNA
Source: RNAcentral